GCUGCUGCUUCACUCAUCAGUGUGGCUGUGAUAACCUGUGGUUACAGCCUGAGGAGAAAUCCUCGCAGGUGAAAACUUUUACUGACGCACUUAAACUCAUGAAAUGACCCUUUGAAAUCACUUGAGCACAUUACUGCAUACAGCAGCCACUGUGGUGUUCAAAGUAUCUCAUAGGUUCUUUUAAAACACCACACAUUAGUUGUAGACAUAGCUAGUCUUGUUUUUGAGGUAUUUUUCACCCCAUGACCUCUGAUGUUUUUAUCCUAACAGAGAAAACAGAUCAGGUCUAACUAACUUAACAGGAUCUGAAACUCGCCAGAUGUUUGACAAAGAGGACCGCUACAUGAGCCUUCAUCGGCAAAACAUCGAUGUCUACCAAACUAUCUCCUCCGGUCGCCUUCAUCAUGAUGCUGAGGCCACUGCAUGUCACAGUCAUGUACAAUAAUAAUCAGAGAUGGAGUUUUUACCCUGACUACGUGAUCUAUAAAACUAUGAUGCUAGACAUGCUAUCUAUAAAAGACACUGACAUUUUAACUUGCCAGCAUCAUGUGUACUGUUAGUUUGUUUUGCACUGAAAAAAGAGAAAAAUAUUAACGUCCAGUAAAACUUGUAAUGAUGUUGUGAA
Maylandia zebra (zebra mbuna) is the source of this 625-nucleotide non-coding RNA. NCBI's taxonomy places the organism in Eukaryota, Metazoa, Chordata, Actinopteri, Cichliformes, Cichlidae. The record is from RefSeq and is a predicted model, not a curated record.